This 37-nucleotide ribosomal RNA is filed under the name Ficus arfakensis. RNAcentral describes it as "partial 26S ribosomal RNA". The record is from RNAcentral. Lineage: Eukaryota; Viridiplantae; Streptophyta; Magnoliopsida; Rosales; Moraceae.
ACGCGACCCCAGGUCAGGCGGGCUACCCGCUGAGUUU